AAUGGAUGGGUGGCUGGAUGGGUACCACAAAGCCUCUGGUGACGGUGGAGCAAAGGAAUAGAUGGUGAAUGUCUCAUACCCACUUCGGAUCCAGAACAGGCCUAGGAGAGACUCAGGUGGGAUCUGCUGCUGAGGAAGGGGGUUGGGGCUGAAGUUGGAGGAGGAGGGCAGCUCUAAACCACCUGUUCCUGGCUCUAGGCCUCUCAGGCCAGACAGCC
RNAcentral lists this long non-coding RNA (218 nucleotides) under Homo sapiens (human). RNAcentral's name for it is "long non-coding RNA NONHSAT131488.2". Lineage: Eukaryota; Metazoa; Chordata; Mammalia; Primates; Hominidae. The record is from RNAcentral.